This 73-nucleotide transfer RNA is filed under the name Zootermopsis nevadensis. It matches the Rfam family "tRNA". Rfam says of the family: Transfer RNA (tRNA) molecules are approximately 80 nucleotides in length. The record is from Rfam by way of RNAcentral. Lineage: Eukaryota; Metazoa; Arthropoda; Insecta; Blattodea; Termopsidae.
GCCACGGUGGUCUAGCGGUUAGGACUCUGGCCUUGUAAUCCUGGGGUCUCGGGUUCGAUUCCCGGCGGUGCCC